This is a long non-coding RNA of Pyrus x bretschneideri (Chinese white pear), 2688 nucleotides long. RefSeq lists it as uncharacterized. The transcript has 2 exons. The record is from RefSeq and is a predicted model, not a curated record. NCBI's taxonomy places the organism in Eukaryota, Viridiplantae, Streptophyta, Magnoliopsida, Rosales, Rosaceae.
CUUUUGUUCUAUUCAUUUAGUAUGCUUUUUAGUUAAAAUGGUUUUUUUUGUUAAAUUGGUAUAACUCCUCAUUUUGGUCUCUGAUAUUUAAAAUCGAUAGAAAUGGUCCUGAGAUUGUCCACCGUCAACAAUUCUGGUCAUUUUGUGAAAAGUCUCCAUUAAAUUGAGAUUGUCCACAAUUGGAAGUUUCUUCAACCCCUCCCCUUGAACUGAUGUUUUCUUCAAUUUAAAGAAGUGGUCUUGAGAUUGUCCACCGUCAACAAUUUUGAUCCUUCUGUGAAAAUUCUUCGUUAAAUUGAGAUUGUCCACCAUGGGUAGUUUCUUCAACCCCUCCCUUGAACUGGUGUUUUCUUCAAUUUAAAAAAGUGGUCCUGAGGUUGUCCACCGUUAACAAUUUUGGUUAUUCUGUAAAAAAUCUCCGUUAAAUUCAGAUUGUCCACCAUGAGUAGUUUCUUCAACCCCUCCCCUUGAACUGGUGUUUUCUUCAAUUUAACGGAGAUUUUUUAACACAAUGACCAAAAUGAUUGACAAUGGACAAUCUCAACGACCAUUUUUUUCAAUUUUAAUAAAUGGGAAAAUGUAGCAUUUACUCAAUAGUUUUACACUUGAAAGAAAUAAUUUAGGGGUCAUUUGAUAACUAUUUUGUUUUUCGGUUUUUAAUUUUUUUUAAAAAAAAUGAAAACUAAAAGCACAAAAAAAAGCCAGAACGUAAAUUCUAAACGCCAAAUUUUGAAAACUCUACGGUCGUUUAAUAAUACUUUCCUUUUUAGUUUUCUUUUUUUUUUUAAAUUGAAAUCUUGUUGGGUAACUACUUUCAGUUUCAAAAAAUUGAAAAGUAAAAAAUAAAAAUUGAAGGGUAAAUUUUGAAAACUCAAGAAAGUAGUUUGAUCGAAAGUAAUUACUAAACAAGAUUUCAAUUUUUAAAAAAGAUGAAACAAAAACUAAAAACUAAAAAAACGAAAUAACUGUCAAAUGGCACUUAAGAAAGUAGUUUUCAAUUUUCAUUAUUUUUGAAAAGUGAGAAUUGAAAAUAGUUCCAAAAUAAAUUCAAUUUUCAGUUUAAAUAAAUGAAAAAAUAACCAAAAAAUGAAAACAAAAUGAUUUUCAAACACCUCUUAACUUUUCACUUCAACGUGGGAAAUAAACUUGAAAUUUCAACUUAUUUCAAUAAACUUGGACAAAAGAAAGACCAUGAAUUUUGGAAGCUCGCUCGAGCUGCUUGUAUAAUUAAGAAGCAAGCCUCAAGCUCGAAAAAAACUAACAACCCAAGCUUGAGUAUAGUGAUGCUAGGUUUGGAUCGGUUGUUUCCAGCCCUAGUUAGGGAUCACGAAAAAGAGAGGUAGUGACUGUGGUAGCAAAAUUCCGCCGUCUUUGAUCAAGUACCAAAACCUCAUGUGCUCACGAGGUGGGGGGUGGUUUGGCCAAUAAAUCUCUGAUGCUUAAGUUAGCUUCUUUGAAAAGAAUGAGUGUUUAGGAUUUUUAUGCGUAGCAAAAAUGUACCAAAGUUUGGUGGAGAUUAAGUAUUUAUGAGGAAGUGGCCGACCUAGGUGUAGAGUUUUAUAUCCUACACAUGGCGACUUCCCAUUGGCCAAGGUUAUAUCAUCUGUAGGAUGAAUGCGGAAAUAAUAUUACCACGAUAUUAAUUAGGAGAUAAUAUCUUGAGAUAAUGAUAGAAGCAUCAUUGAUUGAUUGUGAUAGGGAUUCCUUACUUGAUUGAGUUGAUCUUCAAUUGGGAAUGCAUUAAAGGUAGGAUUUGGUGAUUAAUUAUAUAUUUAAUACCAGUUACUUUUUCAUGGCACGUGAAGAAGAGCUGCCUGUAAAAAUAUUUGUGUACCUUGCCCACUUAAUGAGGCAAUCUCGUCUUCUUCGGAAAAAAAAAAAAAAAAGUCCAUGUGUCGUCUUUAGGAUUUUUAGGAUUAUUUUUUACUCCACAGGGGUAGUUUGGUAAAACGAUAGGCUAAAAAGAUAUAAAUAUCUAUUUUUUCAGUUCUUAAUUAUAUUUAAUUCAUUCAAUAUGGCCAAUCUUUUUUUUUUUUUUGGUCAAACGAUAGAUUUUGUUAGGUUAGGUGUUAAAUUAGCCACUGACGAGGUUCGAACCCACGCCGUCAUGCAAUGACUCAACUCUUUUCCACUAAUGUUAGGGAGAUCAACUUUGUAGACCAUAUUUAUAAAACAAAUGGUGGCUGCAGAUGCAGCUAUGCCACAUCCUUAAUUAAAGGCUUUUUAGCCAAAAUGCUCACUGAGAUUUGCAUAAUUUAUCACUUUGGUCCUUGAAAUUUGAAAUCGAUAGAAUUGGUCCCUGAGUUUGUCCACAAUUAAAUCAUUUUGGCCAUUCCAUGAAAAAUCUCCAUAAAAUAAGGAUAAAAUGACAAAAAUACCCUCAAUUUUUGUCAAAUCAUUUUGGCCUAUUGUUUAUUAUAUUGAGGGUACUUUUAUCACUUUGAUCCUUAUUUAACAUAAUUUUUCACCGAAUGACCAAAAUGAUUGAUGAUGGACACUCUCAGGGACCAACUAUUGAUGAUAGGCACUCUUAGAGACCACUACUAUUGAUUUCAAAUCUCAGGGACGAAAGUGAAGAGUUAGGCAAAUCUAAGGGACCAUUUUGACUAAAAAGCCUUAAUUAAAUUGAAGUUUGAAAAAGUCUUAGUUAUUAUUAAUCAGUUUUUAGGAAUAAAUUAUUAUUUUGAA